RNAcentral lists this transfer RNA (57 nucleotides) under Omalonyx unguis. Its description in RNAcentral is "tRNA-Ser". The record is from RNAcentral. Lineage: Eukaryota; Metazoa; Mollusca; Gastropoda; Stylommatophora; Succineidae.
UUUUAUUAAAUGAGGAUUUUGAAAAUCUUCCGAGGGUAUUUAUUUACCCAAUAAAAA